AUUGAACGCUGGCGGCAUGCUUUACACAUGCAAGUCGAACGGUAACAGGCCUUCGGGUGCUGACGAGUGGCGAACGGGUGAGUAAUGCAUCGGAACGUACCCAGAGGUGGGGGAUAACGCAGCGAAAGCUGUGCUAAUACCGCAUGUGAUCUGAGGAUGAAAGCGGGGGACCGAGCAGCAAUGUUUGGCCUCGCGCCUUUGGAGCGGCCGAUGUCGGAUUAGCUAGUUGGUGGGGUAAAGGCCUACCAAGGCGACGAUCCGUAGCUGGUCUGAGAGGACGACCAGCCGCACUGGGACUGAGACACGGCCCAGACUCCUACGGGAGGCAGCAGUGGGGAAUUUUGGACAAUGGGCGCAAGCCUGAUCCAGCAAUGCCGCGUGCGGGAAGAAGGCCUUCGGGUUGUAAACCGCUUUUGGCAGGAACGAAACGGUGUCCGCUAAUACCGGGCGCUAAUGACGGUACCUGCAGAAUAAGCACCGGCUAACUACGUG
Molecule: ribosomal RNA, 492 nt
Filed under: uncultured bacterium
Lineage: Bacteria
Description: partial 16S ribosomal RNA
Rfam family: Bacterial small subunit ribosomal RNA
Source: RNAcentral